AUUGAACGCUGGCGGCAGGCUUAACACAUGCAAGUCGAGCGAGUGGCGGACGGGUGUGUAACGUCUGGGACCCACCUUUAUGGAGGGGGUAAACUACUGGAAACGGUAGCUAAUCCCGCAUACCAUCAGCUGUGCGCAGAUGGCAUUCGCGAGUAGGUGGGGUAAUGGCUCACGUAGGCGACGAUCCCCAGCUGGUCUGAGAGGGUGAACAGCCACACUGGAACUGAGACACGGUCCAGACUCCUACGGGAGGCAGCAGUAGGGAAUAUUGCACAAGGGGCGAAAGCCUGAUGCAGCCAUGCCGCGUGUGUGAAGAAGGCCUUCGGAUUGUAAAGCACUUUUAGCAGGGAGGCGGUACUCACGGAAAAAGCAACGGCUAACUCCGUGCCAGCAGCCGCGGUAAUUC
Molecule: ribosomal RNA, 406 nt
Filed under: uncultured bacterium
Lineage: Bacteria
Description: partial 16S ribosomal RNA
Rfam family: Bacterial small subunit ribosomal RNA
Source: RNAcentral